This 1239-nucleotide ribosomal RNA is filed under the name Iranian pear phytoplasma PD37. Its description in RNAcentral is "bacterial SSU rRNA". It matches the Rfam family "Bacterial small subunit ribosomal RNA", at positions 153 to 1393 of the family's 1533-position model. The record is from RNAcentral. Lineage: Bacteria; Bacillati; Mycoplasmatota; Mollicutes; Acholeplasmatales; Acholeplasmataceae.
GAAACGACUGCUAAGACUGGAUAGGAAGUUUUAAGGCAUCUUCUUGUUUUUAAAGACCUAGCAAUAGGUAUGCUUAGGGAGGAGCUUGCGUCACAUUAGUUAGUUGGUGGGGUAAAGGCCUACCAAGACUAUGAUGUGUAGCUGGGCUGAGAGGUUGAACGGCCACAUUGGGACUGAGACACGGCCCAAACUCCUACGGGAGGCAGCAGUAGGGAAUUUUCGGCAAUGGAGGAAACUCUGACCGAGCAACGCCGCGUGAACGAUGAAGUAUUUCGGUACGUAAAGUUCUUUUAUUAGGGAAGAAUAAAUGAUGGAAAAAUCAUUCUGACGGUACCUAAUGAAUAAGCCCCGGCUAACUAUGUGCCAGCAGCCGCGGUAAUACAUAGGGGGCAAGCGUUAUCCGGAAUUAUUGGGCGUAAAGGGUGCGUAGGCGGUUAAAUAAGUUUAUGGUCUAAGUGCAAUGCUCAACAUUGUGAUGCUAUAAAAACUGUUUAGCUAGAGUAAGAUAGAGGCAAGUGGAAUUCCAUGUGUAGUGGUAAAAUGCGUAAAUAUAUGGAGGAACACCAGUAGCGAAGGCGGCUUGCUGGGUCUUUACUGACGCUGAGGCACGAAAGCGUGGGGAGCAAACAGGAUUAGAUACCCUGGUAGUCCACGCCGUAAACGAUGAGUACUAAACGUUGGGUAAAACCAGUGUUGAAGUUAACACAUUAAGUACUCCGCCUGAGUAGUACGUACGCAAGUAUGAAACUUAAAGGAAUUGACGGGACUCCGCACAAGCGGUGGAUCAUGUUGUUUAAUUCGAAGGUACCCGAAAAACCUCACCAGGUCUUGACAUGCUUCUGCAAAGCUGUAGAAACACAGUGGAGGUUAUCAGUUGCACAGGUGGUGCAUGGUUGUCGUCAGCUCGUGUCGUGAGAUGUUGGGUUAAGUCCCGCAACGAGCGCAACCCUUAUUGUUAGUUACCAGCACGUAAUGGUGGGGACUUUAGCAAGACUGCCAGUGAUAAAUUGGAGGAAGGUGGGGACGACGUCAAAUCAUCAUGCCCCUUAUGACCUGGGCUACAAACGUGAUACAAUGGCUGUUACAAAGGGUAGCUGAAGCGCAAGUUUUUGGCGAAUCUCAAAAAAACAGUCUCAGUUCGGAUUGAAGUCUGCAACUCGACUUCAUGAAGUUGGAAUCGCUAGUAAUCGCGAAUCAGCAUGUCGCGGUGAAUACGUUCUCGGGGUUUGUACACACCGC